CCUACGGGAGGCAGCAGUGAGGAAUAUUGGUCAAUGGACGAGAGUCUGAACCAGCCAAGCAGCGUGAAGGAUGAAGGCCCUAGGGGUUUUAAACUUCUUUUAGAGGGGAAUAAAAUGAUCCACGUGGGGGAUGUUGUAUGUACCAUAGGAAUAAGGGUGGGUGAACUCGGUGCCAGCAGCCGGGGGAAUACGGAGUAUCUGAGCGUUAUCCGGAUUUAAUGGGUUUAAAGGGAGUGUAGGUGGAUUGUUAAGUCAGUUGGGAAAGGUUGCGGCUCAACCGUAAAAUUGCAGUUGAAACUGGCAGUCUUGAGUACAGUAGAGGUAGGUGGAAUUCGUUGUGUAGCGGUGAAAUGCUU
This 356-nucleotide ribosomal RNA is filed under the name uncultured bacterium. Its description in RNAcentral is "partial 16S ribosomal RNA". It matches the Rfam family "Bacterial small subunit ribosomal RNA", at positions 338 to 691 of the family's 1533-position model. The record is from RNAcentral.